GCUAGAGAAGUUCCUUUAGCAUUUGUUGUAAAGCUGGUUUGGUGGUGCUGAAUUCUCUUAACUUUUGCUUGUCUGGAAAGCUUUUGAUUUCUCCAUCAAAUGUGAAGGAGGGUCUUGCUGAGUAGAAUAUUCUUGGUUGUAAGUUCUUUCCCUUUCAUCACUUUAAAUAUAUCAUGCCAUUCUCUUCUGGCUUGUAGAGUUUCUAUUAAGAAAUCAGUUGAUAGCCUGAUGGGAGUCCCUUGUAUGGUUUUUGUCAUUUUUCUCUUGCUGCUUUAAUAUUUUAUCUCUCUCUUUAAUUUUUGUUGGUUUGAUUACUAUGCGUCUCAAGGUCUCCUCCUUCCUGGGACACUGUGCUUCCUAGGUUUGGUUGACUAUUUGCUUUCUCUUGUUCAGGAAGUUUUCAGUUAUUAGCUCUGCAAAUAUUUUCUCAGGUCCUUUCUCUCUCUCUUCUCCUUCUGGGACCCCUAUAAUGCGAAUGUUGAUGUGUUUACUGUUGUCUCAGAGGUCUCUUAGGCUGUCUUCAUUUCUUUUCAUUCUUUCCUCUAUCUUCUGUUCUGAGGCAGUGGGAUUUCCACCAAUCUAUCCUGUAGGUCAUUUAUUCAUUUUUCUGCCUCUGUUAUUCUGCUACUUAUUCCUUCUAGUGUAUUAAUUCAUCUCUGCUUGUCUGUUCUGUAAUUCUUCUAAGUCUUUAGUAAACAUUCCUUGCAUCUUCUGAACCUUUGCCUCCAUCCUUGGCAGCUCAGCCAAGCUGUGCUUGGGAAAGGCUGAGUCAUGGUGAGAUCGCAGCUCUGCAUAAAUCUGAAAGUCAUUAAUCAAACACACUUGGAUUAAACGCACUGAAAUUGCACUAAAGAAGGUGGGUGGGAGAGUUCUGUUUGUCCACCCCAUACACACUUUGGAGACUGGUUCUUUUUCAGUUGACCUUUGUGAGCACAGAUUUCACUGAGAGCAAAAAAGAACAUACAUGUAUCCUCCUUGGACAAACCUAAAAUUACACACUUAGCACCAACAGGAGUUAUGCAAGAUAAAUUAAAAACAUUGAGGCAAGAGGCUUGGCACACAAAGAGAGUUUCAUAAACACUCUCGCCCACGUUGGGGCGCACUGGGAUCCCACACAGCUGGGUACCCGGCCCACACCUGGAAACCUGCUCUUGGGACCUUUGCUCUCUCAAUCCCUCUCUUGAGUUUCUCUGAAGCAAGGAAGUGAAUCUAGGUCCUGAGAAGCAGGUACUAUGUCAAAAUCAUUUCACUGUAUUCAAGAAAAAAGCAAGCAUCCUCAUUUUGCGGAGGAUGACAGGCGCAUGCCCAACAAAAUUGUCAGCACUUGCUUUUCUCCUUUGGGGUUUCUCCUGCACUAGUUUCUUCAUUCAAACUGCAGUAAAUCUUCAGACCAUUUCGACUCACCACCGUCUGGUUUUGCUCUGGGGAAACCCCCUCUCCAUCCCCGAAGACCACCGCUUGGCUCAUAUAUGGCUCAGAGGUGGCAUCAACUACAGUGGGCACAACACGGGGAGGGGUACGCUCGGGAUGUGGUGUUUCUCAACCUUCAGAAGCAGACUGCCCCUCCUACGAAGGGAAAACUGGGGACCGGAGCCUCUUUCUCUGCAAAUCACAGUGCCGGAGCCUAGAAGCCAGUUCUUGCUGGCUUCUCUGCCCGUGGACCGGCCUCCACAGUGUGUGCCGCCGGUGACUUUGGGUCAGUUCCGCACUCCACCCAAGCGCCUGGAGCGCCCCUGCCCUCAGCUAUGUCAUCCAACACCCGCAUGACACUGGUCACCAGGGCCCACAAGGGCAUCGCCUUCAAAGGUUGCUGACACCACACCAUUUCACAUUCAAGCAGAGGUGACUCUGAAAACAAACUUCUUUGGCACCAGAGUUGUGUGCACAGAGCUCCUGCCUCUGAUAAAGCCCCAAGGCAGAGUGGUGAAUGUAUCCAGCUUUGUCAGUGUCAACUCUCUAAAGAAAUGCAGCCCUGAACUGCAGCAGAAGUUUCAAAGUGAGACCAUCACGGAGGAGGAGCUGGUGGGGCUCAUGA
This is a long non-coding RNA of Bubalus bubalis (water buffalo), 2035 nucleotides long. RefSeq lists it as uncharacterized. The transcript has 3 exons. The record is from RefSeq and is a predicted model, not a curated record. Lineage: Eukaryota; Metazoa; Chordata; Mammalia; Artiodactyla; Bovidae.